GACGUAGGGCGCGAGCGUUGUCCGGAUUUAUUGGGCGUAAAGAGCUCGUAGGCGGCUCGUUGCGUCGGCUGUGAAAACCCGCAGCUCAACUGUGGGCUUGCAGCUGAUACGGGCGGGCUUGGAUUCGGUAGGGGAGACUGGAAUUCCUGGUGUAGCGGUGAAUGCGCAGAUAUCAGGAGGAACACCGGUGGCGAAGGCGGGUCUCUGGGCCGAUAUCGACGCUGAGGAGCGAAAGCGUGGGGAGCGAACAGG
RNAcentral lists this ribosomal RNA (252 nucleotides) under uncultured bacterium. RNAcentral describes it as "partial 16S ribosomal RNA". It matches the Rfam family "Bacterial small subunit ribosomal RNA", at positions 524 to 776 of the family's 1533-position model. The record is from RNAcentral.